UCCUUACAUUAGGGCGUGUUUAUAAUUAGUUAGAAGUCUGCUGACCAAUAGUAGGAAUAAUAAUGGGCAGAGUUUGUGGAUAACAGUUUUUGUUUCUGUUACGGAUUUGGGUUCUUAGUUUACAAGAAAUCCAGAAGAUUUGAGAGAGCUUCUUGUUGGAAACAUGGAUAAUGUGCUAACACCACUAGAAUGCUUUCUUCCUGAUGG
Molecule: long non-coding RNA, 207 nt
Organism: Protopterus annectens (West African lungfish)
Lineage: Eukaryota; Metazoa; Chordata; Ceratodontiformes; Protopteridae
Exons: 2
Source: RefSeq, a predicted model, not a curated record